UACGUAGGGGGCAAGCGUUAUCCGGAUUUACUGGGUGUAAAGGGAGCGUAGACGGCGUAGUAAGUCUGAUGUGAAAGCCCGGGGCUCAACCCUGGGACUGCAUUGGAAACUAUUAUGCUAGAGUGCAGGAGAGGUAAGUGGAAUUCCUAGUGUAGCGGUGAAAUGCGUAGAUAUUAGGAGGAACACCAGUGGCGAAGGCGGCUUACUGGACUGUAACUGACGUUGAGGCUCGAAGGUCAGGGGAGCAAAC
RNAcentral lists this ribosomal RNA (250 nucleotides) under uncultured bacterium. RNAcentral describes it as "partial 16S ribosomal RNA". It matches the Rfam family "Bacterial small subunit ribosomal RNA", at positions 524 to 773 of the family's 1533-position model. The record is from RNAcentral.